CCUACGGGAGGCAGCAGUGAGGAAUAUUGGUCAAUGGGCGAGAGCCUGAACCAGCCAAGUCGCGUGAGGGAGUACUGCCCUAUGGGUUGUAAACCUCUUUUGUCGGGGAGCAAAAGCCGGACGUGUCCGGCUGUGAGAGUACCCGAAGACAAAGCAUCGGCUAACUCCGUGCCAGCAGCCGCGGUAAUACGGAGGAUGCGAGCGUUAUCCGGAUUUAUUGGGGUUAAAGGGUGCGCAGGCGGAUUUUUAAGUCAGCGGUAAAAUCGUGGGGCCCAACCCCAUACAGCCGUUGAAAUUGGGGAUGUGGAGAGUGCGAGAGGUAUGCGGAAUGCGUGGUGUAGCGGUGAAAUGCAUAGAUAUCACGCAGAACCCCGAUUGCGAAGGCAGCAUACCGGUGCACAACUGACGCUCAGGCACGAAAGCGUGGGUAUCGAACAGGAUUAGAUACCCUAGUAGUC
This 458-nucleotide ribosomal RNA is filed under the name uncultured bacterium. RNAcentral describes it as "partial 16S ribosomal RNA". It matches the Rfam family "Bacterial small subunit ribosomal RNA", at positions 338 to 795 of the family's 1533-position model. The record is from RNAcentral.